Molecule: transfer RNA, 77 nt
Filed under: Chitinophagaceae bacterium
Lineage: Bacteria; Pseudomonadati; Bacteroidota; Chitinophagia; Chitinophagales; Chitinophagaceae
Description: tRNA-Val
Source: RNAcentral
GGGACAUUAGCUCAGUUGGUUAGAGUACUUCCUUGACAUGGAAGGGGUCGGCGAUUCGAGUUCGCCAUGUCCCACGA